Molecule: ribosomal RNA, 721 nt
Filed under: uncultured bacterium
Lineage: Bacteria
Description: bacterial SSU rRNA
Rfam family: Bacterial small subunit ribosomal RNA
Source: RNAcentral
GGUAGUCCACGCCCUAAACGAUGUCAACUAGCUGUUGGGGCCUUCGGGCCUUGGUAGCGCAGCUAACGCGUGAAGUUGACCGCCUGGGGAGUACGGUCGCAAGAUUAAAACUCAAAGGAAUUGACGGGGACCCGCACAAGCGGUGGAUGAUGUGGAUUAAUUCGAUGCAACGCGAAAAACCUUACCUACCCUUGACAUGUCUGGAAUCCCAAAGAGAUUAGGGAGUGCUCGCAAGAGAACCGGAACACAGGUGCUGCAUGGCUGUCGUCAGCUCGUGUCGUGAGAUGUUGGGUUAAGUCCCGCAACGAGCGCAACCCUUGUCAUUAGUUGCUACGAAAGGGCACUCCAAUGAGACUGCCGGUGACAAACCGGAGGAAGGUGGGGAUGACGUCAAGUCCUCAUGGCCCUUAUGGGUAGGGCUUCACACGUCAUACAAUGGUCGGGACAGAGGGUCGCCAACCCGCGAGGGGGGGCCAAUCCCAGAAACCCGAUCGUAGUCCGGAUCGUAGUCUGCAACUCGACUACGUGAAGUCGGAAUCGCUAGUAAUCGCGGAUCAGAAUGUCGCGGCGAAUACGUUCCCGGGUCUUGUACACACCGCCCGUCACACCAUGGGAGUGGGUUCCACCAGAAGUAGUUAGCCUAACCGCAAGGAGGGCGAUUACCACGGUGGGGUUCAUGACUGGGGUGAAGUCGUAACAAGGUAGCCGUAUCGGAAGGUGC